This 254-nucleotide ribosomal RNA is filed under the name uncultured bacterium. Its description in RNAcentral is "partial 16S ribosomal RNA". It matches the Rfam family "Bacterial small subunit ribosomal RNA", at positions 524 to 776 of the family's 1533-position model. The record is from RNAcentral.
UACAGAGGCCACGAGCGUUAGGCGGAAUCACUGGGCUUAAAGCGUGUGUAGGUGGAUGGGUAAGUACCUUGUGAAAUCCCACGGCUUAACCGUGGAACUGCUUGGUAUACUGGUUCUCUUGAGCCACCUAGGGGCAACCGGAACAAACGGUGGAGCGGUGAAAUGCGUAGAUAUCGUUUGGAACGCCAAUGGUGAAAACAGGUUGCUGGGGGGUGUGCUGACGCUGAGACACGAAAGCCAGGGGAGCGAACGGG